UCCCCGUUAUCCGAGGCAGUUUCGCCAGAGUGCCCGGCUUGACCCGAUGGCAACUGGCAAUAAGGGUUGCGCUCGUUGCGGGACUUAACCCAACAUCUCACGACACGAGCUGACGACAACCAUGCACCACCUGUGAACCGACCGCAAGCGGGGCACCUGUUUCCACCAGCUUUCCCGUGCAUGUCAAGCCCAGGUAAGGUUCUUCGCGUUGCUUCGAAUUAAACCACAUGCUCCACCGCUUGUGCGGGCCCCCGUCAAUUCCUUUGAGUUUCAGCCUUGCGGCCGUACUCCCCAGGCGGGGUACUUAUUGCGUUAGCGACGGCACCGAAGGGGUCGCUCCCCCCGGCGCCUAGUACCCAUCGUUUACGGCGUGGACUAC
Molecule: unclassified non-coding RNA, 379 nt
Filed under: uncultured bacterium
Lineage: Bacteria
Description: contains 16S-23S intergenic spacer region
Source: RNAcentral